GGAUGUGAGGGCGAUCUGGCUGCGACAUCUGUCACCCCAUUGAUCGCCUGGGUUGAUUCGGCUGAUCUGGCUGGCUAGGCGGGUGUCCCCUUCCUCCCUCACCGCUCCAUGUGCAUCCCUCCCGAAGCUGCACGCUCGGUGGAAGAGGACGACCAUCCCAGAUAGAAGGAGUGUACUGUUCUUCGGUCAAGGGUAUACGAUAGCUGCACUCCCCUGCUAGAACCUCCAAACAAAGUGUUUGUGCUGACCUUUAAAGCCCUCAAUGACCUCAAAGGCGCAGUAUACCUGAAGGAGCAUUU
Non-coding RNA from Podarcis lilfordi (Lilford's wall lizard), 299 nucleotides. The record is from the annotation of a GenBank genome assembly. NCBI's taxonomy places the organism in Eukaryota, Metazoa, Chordata, Lepidosauria, Squamata, Lacertidae.